UACGGAGGGGGCUAGCGUUGUUCGGAAUUACUGGGCGUAAAGCGCACGUAGGCGGAUUGGAAAGUUGGGGGUGAAAUCCCGGGGCUCAACCCCGGAACUGCCUUCAAAACUCCCGGUCUGGAGGUCGAGAGAGGUGAGUGGAAUUCCGAGUGUAGAGGUGAAAUUCGUAGAUAUUCGGAAGAACACCAGUGGCGAAGGCGGCUCACUGGCCCGUUACCGACGCUCAGGCGCGACAGCGUGGGGAGCAAACAGG
RNAcentral lists this ribosomal RNA (253 nucleotides) under uncultured bacterium. Its description in RNAcentral is "partial 16S ribosomal RNA". It matches the Rfam family "Bacterial small subunit ribosomal RNA", at positions 524 to 776 of the family's 1533-position model. The record is from RNAcentral.